CUAACGACUCUGUGCGUGUUUCGAGAGAUUGUUCCAGAAGCUUUGUCCUGGUGAGAAGGUAUGUGUGUUUAAUCUAGAAAGAAGACAUGAAGAGGAGAAGAACUUGGGCGAGACCCCUACCUCUUGAUGAUGAUGAUGAGAAUGAUGAUGAGAAUGAUAACAAUGAUGAAGAAGAGGAGGAAGAAGAAAGUACUUCUGACAGAAGAGAUAGUUUAAGAAAACGAAAGAAAGUCAAUUACUGGACAGAUGCUCAUGUUGAUGGAGAGGAUGAGGAGGAUGAGUACGAGGAGGAUGAGGAGGAAGGUGAGGAGGAAGGUGAACACAGCCAGACAACACCAGAAAACAG
This is a long non-coding RNA of Amphiprion ocellaris (clown anemonefish), 346 nucleotides long. Lineage: Eukaryota; Metazoa; Chordata; Actinopteri; Pomacentridae. The record is from Ensembl.